Molecule: ribosomal RNA, 464 nt
Filed under: Vreelandella stevensii
Lineage: Bacteria; Pseudomonadati; Pseudomonadota; Gammaproteobacteria; Oceanospirillales; Halomonadaceae
Description: partial 16S ribosomal RNA
Rfam family: Bacterial small subunit ribosomal RNA
Source: RNAcentral
CCUACGGGCGGCAGCAGUGGGGAAUAUUGGACAAUGGGGGGAACCCUGAUCCAGCCAUGCCGCGUGUGUGAAGAAGGCCCUCGGGUUGUAAAGCACUUUCAGUGAGGAAGAACGCCUGGUGGUUAAUACCCAUCAGGAAAGACAUCACUCACAGAAGAAGCACCGGCUAACUCCGUGCCAGCAGCCGCGGUAUACGGAGGGUGCGAGCGUUAAUCGGAAUUACUGGGCGUAAAGCGCGCGUAGGUGGCUUGAUAAGCCGGUUGUGAAAGCCCCGGGCUCAACCUGGGAACGGCAUCCGGAACUGUCAAGCUAGAGUGCAGGAGAGGAAGGUAGAAUUCCCGGUGUAGCGGUGAAAUGCGUAGAGAUCGGGAGGAAUACCAGUGGCGAAGGCGGCCUUCUGGACUGACACUGACACUGAGGUGCGAAAGCGCGGGUAGCAAACAGGAUUAGAUACCCCAGUAGUC